CCUGAGCAGCAGCCCUGGUGGCAGCAUGAUGUGGGGACACAUGGCCAGGCAGGGCCCGUUAUGAGAAGAGAGCAGAAACCUUGGCUUUUUCCACCUAGCAGCCAAAGAUGGGGAGAGAGAGGAGCUAUUUAAGCUAGAGGAGGGAACAGAUAUACAGAAAAGGUGGAAAUAAUGUAGGAAUUAAAGCAGGUUUCUAACAGCUGGGGUCUUCAAGGUCUGGGACUGCACUUCCUGAUGAGGCAGCAGUAACUGAAAUGCUCAUUGAGGGCUCAGCUCUUGCAUUCACACAAGAAUCUAUCCCAUGGGUGCAGCAGGAGGGCCCAGGUUGGCCCAUUUGUCCUCAGCCUCUGGUUUGGCAGAGCUCAGGCACCAAGCCAGCCAUCUGUACAGCAGCACCGCCCCAGAGACACGUCCCAAAGUGUGGGAGGAACAAACAUCCCCAAGAGAGAACACUAUUUUUGGGCUACGGUCCUUCCAAGUCCUAGCAAAGCCAUGAAAAAUGCUACAAUUUUGGAGGAAGGCAGGAGAGGCCAUGCCAAGUCAGUGCAUCUCCCACACGUGGGACAACAUGAAGUCAAGGCAUGGCAAAGGCUGCGUGUUCCCAGCCCUGAGCCAGCCCCAGUUCUAUGAAGCAAUAUUUCACUUGCGUUCUCAGGAGCAUCCAGAAUCAGCCAGCCUGGCUGCAUGCAGGCACGUAAGAGUCCUUUGUGUUAUACAACAGCAUUUUCACUGCCAUUCACUGUUACUGGAGAUUGUCUGCUCAGGACAGCAACAACAUUGAGCUUCCCAGGCAAGGAAACAAAACCCAUCACUUGUGGAUGAUCGCUGAUGGCCAUGGCUCAGAUCCCCUCACUGCCACUGCAGGAACCUUCCGCACCUCCCGUCAAAGGCUGGGCAGUGCAACCUCAUUUGGCAUCUCAGAGAAGUCAGAGGUGCUGUGCAGGCUGUCCUCGGUGUCUGAGAUGAGUGCAUGCACCACGGGGAUCACAGCAGCACUGCCAGGUGCUCACCCAGCCUCCCAGCUCAAGGAAGCACCCACACUCAGCUCUCCCUGGACUGAGACCCACUUAAACACUGACAUUGUUUCCUGGGCAGACCCAUCGAGAAAGGAAAUAUAAAAGCCAUGUUUAAUAUUUUUAAAUUGCUUUCCCUUUUUUUUUUUUUUUAAUGCAUCUGAUGUUGUGAGACUUGCUGAAAUGGGAUUUAAUUUCCUGAAUGUAGCAGUCCCAUGUUGUGUCUGGAUGCAGAUCCACAUAGGAGGCAAGCAGCCCAGGAUGGCAGGGACAUGAAUCCUCGAUUUUGGGCUAAGCCUUGUGGUGUCUGUCAUUUUUCAGCUGGUUGUUUUAUCUCUCUGUACUCUGGGAAGGGUAUCUUGACACAGACAGUUUGCAGAGCCAUUUCAGCUGUUCAGACAGCUCAGCCACAAUAUGUUGCCUCAAAUUGUUCUGUCAAGCACAUGCAUCAGCUGUAUUUGCUUGCCUUGAAGCUGUGAAAACCAGAGACCCUCCUGAGAAAAUUUAGCUUCUACAUAGAAAUAAAGAGGUUGACAACGCUCUCAAAUGAACAAAUGCCACACAAGGCAAUGAGCUGCAAACCUGCCAUGGCCUGUGAAGCUCUUUGGAUUUUGGAUUGUAUCAUUAGCUACUGCAGUCCCAAAGCCUUGACAUCUAGAAGCUGCAGCCAGAAGGGCUGUGCUGUCCUUCCAAGAGCUGGGCACUGCCUGGAGCUGCCAUGGCUCAGGGAUGGGUGCUGAGAUCCACGGGGGCCCAGGGUGCCAGAGCGAGGCAGGGACACACAGCAGGGCACAGUCAAACCUCCAGUCAGGGCUGAUGGGAUCUUUCUGUGGCUGCUCAUGGGGGAGGGCAGUGGCAGGGGCUGGUUUUGGCUGGCACAUGCCCUGGGGGACACAGAUCUGGUCAGUGUAGCAGCACUGGGCCGUGGUCAUGAUGCCAAGAGGCACAAGGUGAUGUUGCCCCUCAGUCUCACCAGAGCCAACGAUGGAGCAAAGCUGUGACACGUCUCUGCUUCACAGUACAGAAAGAACAAGACUUCUUUUUCUUAAUGUGACAGAGAUAUUAUCCCCUCUAUUUAAUUUUCGUGCACUAAAUACCAAAUUCUGGCGGCACCGAUGCUGCACCUGCUUUCCAUGUCCUCUGCAUCCAAGCACAGAUGCUGACACCCAGUGGCCAUGGGAUUUCUAGCGCCUGCACAAGAUGGAAAAUUUCAGCAGAGAUGCCUCAGCUGGUAAGAUACAACACCCACCUUUUCAUUUCCUCAAGUGCACAAGGAGUAAAGAGCUCCUGAGAGAUCACAGAGUGGGUAAGUCUGGAAGGGAACACUGGAACUCAUCUUGUUCAAACCCCUCUCAAGCAGGGUCCCCGAGGGCGCUUUAGUCAUGAUUGUGUCCAGGCAGCCUUUGAGUGUCUCCAGAGGAGACUCCACAACAUCUCUGGGCAGCCUGUUCCAGUGCUCUCUCUCCCUUGCAGUGGAGUUCCUCCUCAUAUUCAGGUGGAAAUUCCUAUGUUCCAAGAUUCCAGCCUUGCUUUGUGUCUUGCAGCCACUGGCAAGUUAUAGUGGUUGAAACACUUGUACUGAGAGGCCACUCAGAAAAAUUAAAAAAUAUGAGGAUGGAUAUGUUUUUCAAAUUAUUCUCUUGCUGGCAGCUUGAAAAUAUACCUCAGUGAGAGAAGAAGGGUGAUUUUUGAGUUCAGGGACCUUGGCUUUCGUCUUCCCUGUUUUGCUGCUUCCCAAAAGCAGUUAGAAUAUGACAGACUAAAUGGAUUUUGCAUUUCCCUGCAGCAUGCACUGGAUCAUGCUUUUGUAUGUGUGACAAGUAUUGACAUUCUCUAGAGAGAAAAAAGCUGUGUAGGAAAAGUUGGAUUUAUUCUUCAACAAAUGGCUCUAAGACUUUAUCAGUGAAAGACAGAAAGAAGGCUCUAAACUCAUGGGUAUGCAAAGACAAAGACACGUCUCACCAAACAUGUGGAGCUUAGUUGGUAAAAAUACGUGGAACCCAGACAUGAACUGGGAACAAUAAGAGCAGAGGAGGGAUUUUAAAAGUGCUUUACUAAAAAUAUUAAUUAUGGACUACAGAAAAUGAAUUAAAACACUCUAAUGAGACUACUGUGUGAAAGAAAUACAUUGGUGUAAUUCUAAAAACAUGGGAUAAAAAAGCCACUAGUGAAAUUCUAGUGAGGUUCAGGAUGUUAGGAAGGUGAGUGGCCAUCUAUUAGGGCUGAAUUUUGCAAAUGCUUCAGAUGUGAUACUGUGAGAAAGCAGGUGUUCUGCUGCUGCUGCACUGAGGAUCCUGUGCAGGGGGGAGUUUGGGGAGGAGGGAGCCCUGCACAGGGGCCAAGCCCAGCUUUCCUCACCUAAAUGCUCCUGUAAAGCUGCAGCGUACAGAUACCAUAAGUAGAUGUACUUAAUUUAUCACUCUGUUACUAGGCAGGUUUCUAGGCAGGCUUCAGCCUAACUUUUAUAUUUUGUGGUUACUGAAAUAGCUCUGAUCUUUUUUUGGGGUGAGUUCUAGCUGUGGAGGUACAACAGCCUGCCCUACUUUUUCCCUUGGGGACAUUCACAAUGCACUCACGUGUUUUUAGUAGACAUUUUAACUGUUGGAGAGUCUGGCAGAACAUCAGAGGCCUGAAAAUCCAUGCCCAGUGCAUGCUCACUGGGUAUUUUUCAAAGUAAAGCCAUCCCAUGGUGGCUGCCCAGGAGACAGUAGAGACAGUGGUUGCGUCUCAGCAGAAUUACAACAACCAUGAAACUUCUUUUCUGCUUCAGUCUGUGCUUCAGUCAGUUCUUUCCUCCUUAGGUUCCUCCCCAAAUGACAUUGGGCUGUUGCCCAUUUAGCAGUGGAAGCAGCUGAUAGUGAUUGAACAAUUUUGCAGUUGGAUGUGUGAGACAGCACUUGCUGCAUUGUUUCUGAUUGGAUUAGUAUGGCUCUUUACAUGGCUGAUUGACACAAACUAGAUCUUCUCUCUGAGCUUCCACUGCUCAUUAGAAAUUCCCACUUUGAAUAAAUACUCCUUCAAGAAAACUCAUUUUCAGGAUUGUUCUGAUGAAAUGAAGCCACACUAAACCCCUGUGUUUUCCUUGGUUAGUUCUUCAAGCUAAAAGAACCCAGAAUGGGCUUGGAAAAGAAUAACUCAGCCAGUGACACUUCUAAAUUUUUUUUUUCUAUCACCAUCAUCAUAGAGAAUGAUUCCUAAAAAAUCAGUCAGCAAUUUCCUCACCUGACUACACAUGGUAUUGAGGAACAUCAGGUUGAAUUCUGGUGCCAAUGUCUACUUCCUAGAGAAAUUCCCAUAUCACAUUUGCUGGAGUGACCCUCACUUCUCUGAAUCAUCUGUCCUUUGCAGUAGCUGUGGUCAGGCUUCUUUAUAGCAAAAGUUUCUCUCAAGGCCUCUCCACCUGAGCUUUUCAACAGGUAAGACAUAUCAGCUGAUGAAAUAAAUAGCUCAGCUGGGCAUUUGGGAACAGGGGAGACUUGGUGAGAGUAAGGUGGGGCACAGGGGCUGGAUAGAAGUGUUUGCAUGCACACACAUUGUGUGUGAGGUGCUGCCCUUCACUGUGUGUGUCCUGCUGACAGAUUUCUGGAGUCCUUACAAAAGAAAAAACCCAAACAAGCCCACAGAACAACGUGGUUAUCUUUAUUCAUGAAAGUUUCCACUGCCUCUUUUUUCUCCCUUGUCCUGUUACCAGAAACACCUUGCUUCAGAGUCAGUUUGGAUCUCUUCUGGUUUUCCUGCAGUCAUUUUAAGCCCCUCCAGUUUUCCUAAGCCCGUUAAGGACUGGGAUUGCAACACCUGCCUUCACAAGUGGCAGCAGGCAGGGAAGGCCCAGCUGGGCUGCAGUAAGCUCAGGGCUCCUUGGCUGGUUUGGGAUGGUGUUCCAUGAGCAGCCACCGAACACAAGCAGUGCA
Cyanistes caeruleus (blue tit) is the source of this 4924-nucleotide long non-coding RNA. RefSeq lists it as uncharacterized. NCBI's taxonomy places the organism in Eukaryota, Metazoa, Chordata, Aves, Passeriformes, Paridae. The record is from RefSeq and is a predicted model, not a curated record.